Molecule: long non-coding RNA, 800 nt
Organism: Lathyrus oleraceus (garden pea)
Lineage: Eukaryota; Viridiplantae; Streptophyta; Magnoliopsida; Fabales; Fabaceae
Exons: 3
Source: RefSeq, a predicted model, not a curated record
UGGACUGUCAUUUGGAUGAUUGUUGAUUUGAAUUUCGCAGGACACAUGCUGUCAUGGAAUUGGUAUUGCACAUCGUCCGCUUUGCACUACAGCGGUCAAGCCAAGGAUUACAAAGGUUAGGCUUUGAAGCCUCAUUGCCGGUUGCAUUCGGGUUGAGAUGGCCUUGCUGCAAGCAUCGUGUUCCCAUAUGAUGGCAGGGCUCGGAGCAAUUCAGUCUCGGUUCCAAUUGCUGAUUACUCGCAAAGGAUUCUCGUAAGGUGACUCAGUUGUAAGCUUUUCAGCAAAAGCAGACAUAGCAGUUUCAAACUUUCUUCAACAGGACGCCAUCCAGGUCGAAUGGCAUGCUGGACAAGACGAAGGCUAAGUGGUGCGUAUCCGGAGAAGACAUGAACAACAUCAUUGGGGGUUGGCUGUAUCGGUAUCUUCAACCACAAGCUCCAGAGUACAUUUUAUAGCAGCUUGGCGCUCAUGCAAUUGAUUCAAGGAUCAUGAUGGUGUUUGAAGGCCCGAUUAGUGAUCGAGACUAACGGCAUAGCAGGUCUGCAACCAGCAGGUAAUCGCUGUCAUUCUGCGACACGACUACGACCUUAGGUUCAUGGCCCGCACAGAUAGGAUGCGUUGGCUGGUGGGAUGGUUUUGCCAGUGUGUAUUGCAAUGCUGACUUGGUUGUCGGAAUUGCGGCGUUUAGCUCAGUUCUGAAGCUCUGUUAUUGAGGUGGUCGGCAUUCCGGACAAAGAGCUUUCAGCUUAUCCUGUGGCAGCUUGCGGUUCUCUCGGCAGCACUGGCAGCUUAUGCUUUCC